Molecule: long non-coding RNA, 1261 nt
Organism: Oncorhynchus tshawytscha (Chinook salmon)
Lineage: Eukaryota; Metazoa; Chordata; Actinopteri; Salmoniformes; Salmonidae
Source: Ensembl
AGGGAGCUUACACUAGUAACCCCAUAUGGAGCUCUGCCCUGACUCAGGCUGAGGCGACACAGUAACCAUCUGCCAUUAUGACCAAGUCUCUAAGCAUCAUACUAAAGAAUGGUGCAGGCAGGGGCAAGGAACGUGUCUCAUGUGAGCUGCUGGCUGACACAAGGUUUCAAGAGGGAAAGGUGUUUUUUUUUAUCAGGGAUGAUAGAUCUGUGGGGAUUCUCCAUGUCACUAUGAUUAACCUGACGGCAGAGGAUGAGGUCUUGUAUCUGUAUGUUGUAUCACUUUACAGGAAGGAUGGCUACCACCACUUUAUCUCUAUGUCAAACCAGGGGAAGGAUUUGGGGUUUGUGUGUGUGUGUGUGUGUGUGGUGACACUCCUAUUUUGUCAUGUUGAUGGACAGAGAAAAUGUUUUGAGUACAUUCAGGCUUCCAUACUAACACUCUAUCCCCAGUAGGUCCCAACCAGAGCCAAGGAGAGCCAACCAGAGCCAAGGAGAGCCAACCAGAGCCAAGGAGAGCCAACCAGAGCCAAGGCUCGUAUGGACGCUCACCAGAUGGAUUCUCUUUGCCAUCCUGCAAGCCUGCACUGUGGCUGCUUCAAGGUGGAGAAGGGAGAUAAAUGCAUAGCGACCCCAAGCCCUGUAACCCCUCACUCCGAAGUUGAAUUGCCCUUAAUAACCGCUGGUCCAGAGUCAGAUAUUCUUCUGUCCCAAUAAGAUUAAGGGUUUGGAUUGGGGUUAGGAUAAUCUGAUCCUAGAUCUGUGGUUCGAGGAAACUUCUCAAGUUCUUCCUCCACUGGACCAGGAAAGAACCAGAACUUUGGCCUUGAAUGACCUUUGACCUCCUAUGUUAUAUGAAUAGUCAGCACAAGCUGGGCAAAGUACCGCCACGGUUUGCUCUAUUGUUUACCAGAUCAAUGGCACACUGAUAGUAACUAGUAACUACUAACAAUUGGAUACCACGAAAUUGGGCUAGAAAAGGGGGUAAUAUAAAAAAUAAAAGAAAUUCAGGAGAGGACUUCCCGCUGUGCAGUUUCCGUGCGUUUUCGCACUCUGAAAAGAUGUCUAGGAGCAAUGCAACGUUACAGCAACCUCUAUCACGAUGACAUUCAAAUCCUCACUGCUACCAGGGCUUUGUUCUACACUGCAGAAUUCAAAGUAGCUCAAGUCAUAAGAUAUGACUGCUACCAUUGACGUUCCAAGCUUUGUCCCUUUUGUUCGCGGGCACAAGUAUAUAAAGUAUGUAGCCCUGUGUCAUGUGG